Molecule: ribosomal RNA, 483 nt
Filed under: uncultured bacterium
Lineage: Bacteria
Description: partial 16S ribosomal RNA
Rfam family: Bacterial small subunit ribosomal RNA
Source: RNAcentral
GACGAACGCUGGCGGCGUGCUUAACACAUGCCAGUCGAACGAUGAAGCGGGUGCUUGCACUCGUGGAUUAGUGGCGAACGGGCGAGUAACACGUGAGUAACCUGUCCUUUUCUUUGGGAUAACGGCUGGAAACGGCUGCUAAUACUGGAUAUUCAGGCUGCAUCGCAUGGUGUGGUUUGGAAAGGUUUUUUCUGGGAUUGGGUGGGCUCGCGGCCUAUCAGCUUGUUGGUGGGGUGAUGGCUUACCAAGGCUUUGACGGGUAGCCGGCCUGAGAGGGUGGUCGGUCGCACUGGGACUGAGAUACGGCCCAGACUCCUACGGGAGGCAGCAGUGGGGAAUAUUGCACAAUGGACGAAAGUUUGAUGCAGCGACGCCGCGUGGAGGGUGUAGGCCUUCGGGUUGUGAACUCCUUUUUCUCGCGAAAAAGGCACAGUUUUGGCUGUGUUGAUGGUAGUGGGGGAAGAAGCGCCGGCUAACUACGUG